CAGUCGCCGCGGGAAUACGUAGGUGGCAAGCGUUGUCCGGAAUUAUUGGGCGUAAAGGGCGCGCAGGCGGUUUCUUAAGUCUGAUGUGAAAGCCCCCGGCUCAACCGGGGAGGGUCAUUGGAAACUGGGAAACUUGAGUGCAGAAGAGGAGAGUGGAAUUCCACGUGUGGCGGUGAAAUGCGUAGAGAUGUGGAGGAACACCAGUGGCGAAGGCGACUCUCUGGUCUGUAACUGACGCUGAGGAGCGAAAGCGUGGGGAGCGAACAGGAUUAGAGACCCCUGUAGUCCCUGUCUCUUAUAC
Molecule: ribosomal RNA, 301 nt
Filed under: uncultured bacterium
Lineage: Bacteria
Description: partial 16S ribosomal RNA
Rfam family: Bacterial small subunit ribosomal RNA
Source: RNAcentral